UACGGAGGGCGCAAGCGUUGUUCGGAAUUACUGGGCGUAAAGCGCGUGUAGGCGGCCAGGUAAGUCGGGUGUGAAAUCCCGGGGCCCAACCCCGGAACUGCACCCGAUACUGCCCGGCUGGAGUCCCGGAGAGGAUGGCGGAAUUUCCGGUGUAGAGGUGAAAUUCGUAGAUAUCGGAAGGAACACCAGUGGCGAAGGCGGCCAUCUGGACGGUGACUGACGCUGAGACGCGAAAGCGUGGGGAGCGAACAGG
RNAcentral lists this ribosomal RNA (253 nucleotides) under uncultured bacterium. RNAcentral describes it as "partial 16S ribosomal RNA". It matches the Rfam family "Bacterial small subunit ribosomal RNA", at positions 524 to 776 of the family's 1533-position model. The record is from RNAcentral.